RNAcentral lists this ribosomal RNA (477 nucleotides) under uncultured bacterium. RNAcentral describes it as "partial 16S ribosomal RNA". It matches the Rfam family "Bacterial small subunit ribosomal RNA", at positions 28 to 507 of the family's 1533-position model. The record is from RNAcentral.
GAUUAACGCUGGCGGCGUGCAUAACACAUGCAAGUCGAACGAUGAAACUUAAAUGAUUUCUUCGGCAUGAACUUAAGUGGAUUAGUGGCGGACGGGUGAGUAACGCGUGAGUAACCUGCCUUACACAAGGGGAUAGCCGUUGGAAACGACGAAUAAUACCCUAUGAAACUAUCACUUCGCAUGAAGCGAUAGUCAAAGUGUUAGCGGUGUAAGAUGGACUUGCGUCUGAUUAGCUAGUUGGAGAGAAAAAAGCCCACCAAGGAAACGAUCAGUAGCCGGAGUGAGAGAGGGUACAGACACAAUGGGACAGGGACAAGGCCCAGACGCCUACGAGAGGGAGCAGUGGGGAAUUAUGCAGAAUGAGGGAAACCCUGAUGCAGCGAGGCCGGGUGAUUUAGAAGGCGGUCGGGUAGUAAAAAUCUUUUGUAUAGGAAGAAAAUGACAGUACUAUACGAAUAAGGUCCGGCUAAUUACGUG